RNAcentral lists this ribosomal RNA (476 nucleotides) under uncultured bacterium. Its description in RNAcentral is "partial 16S ribosomal RNA". It matches the Rfam family "Bacterial small subunit ribosomal RNA", at positions 356 to 824 of the family's 1533-position model. The record is from RNAcentral.
AGGGAAUCUUCCACAAUGGACGAAGUCUGAUGGAGCAACGCCGCGUGAGUGAUGAAGGGUUUCGGCUCGUAAAACUCUGUUGUUGGAGAAGAACAGGUGAUAGAGUAACUGUUAUCAUCUUGACGGUAUCCAACCAGAAAGCCACGGCUAACUACGUGCCAGCAGCCGCGGUAAUACGUAGGUGGCAAGCGUUGUCCGGAUUUAUUGGGCGUAAAGCGAGCGCAGGCGGUUUUUUAGGUCUGAUGUGAAAGCCUUCGGCUUAACCGGAGAAGGGCAUCGGAAACCGGGAGACUUGAGUGCAGAAGAGGACAGUGGAACUCCAUGUGUAGCGGUGAAAAUGCGUAGAUAUAUGGAAGAACACCAGUGGCGAAGGCGGCUGUCUGGUCUGUAACUGACGCUGAGGCUCGAAAGCAUGGGUAGCGAACAGGAUUAGAUACCCUGGCAGUCCAUGCCGUAAACGAUGAGUGCUAAGUGUU